CGAGCACGCGCGUGUGGCAUAUCAAUAAGCGGAGGAAAAGAAACUAACAAGGAUUCCCUAGCUAACGGCGAGUGAAGCGGGAAGAGCUCAAAUUUGAAAUCUUAAAGGUUUCCCUUGACGAAUUGUAGUUUAUAGAAGUGUUUUCUGUUAGGGAGUUCGGUAAAAGUUCUUUGGAAUAGGACAUCAUAGAGGGUGAGAAUCCCGUAUUUGGUCAUUCCUCCUAGCGUUGUGAUACACUUUCAACGAGUCGGAUUGUUUGGGAAUGCAGUCCAAAAUGGGUGGUAAAUUUCAUCUAAGCUAAAUAUUGGCGAGAGACCGAUAGCGAACAAGUACCGUGAGGGAAAGAUGAAAAGAACUUUGAAAAGAGAGUUAAACAGUACGUGAAAUUGUCAAAAGGGAAGCGUUUGACACCAGUGUUGCUUUUUCCGAAAAUCAAUUACGAAUGUUUUAGUUUUUAAGGAGUUAUGACUUCAUCGGCUUGCUUCUCUCUUUAUGAAACUUUCUUAAUGCACUUUUCGGUUAACAAGUCAACAUCAAUUUCUUUUGUUGUAAAAGGGUAUGAGGAAGGUGGCUUUCUUUUCGGAGAAAGUGUUUAUAGCCUUGUAGCCUCUGCAAUCGGAGAGAUUGAGGUCUGCAGCGUAGAUCCUUCGGGGUUAGAUACAGUUUGUGCUAAGUUAUAGCUUUUCAUAGACAACUUGUUGACUAUGUUUAGUCUUGUAGCUUACUCGCUUAUGCUAUUUUACCUACGCUUAGGAUGUUGAUGUGAUACUGCGAGC
Molecule: ribosomal RNA, 776 nt
Filed under: uncultured Neocallimastigales
Lineage: Eukaryota; Fungi; Neocallimastigomycota; Neocallimastigomycetes; Neocallimastigales
Description: partial large subunit ribosomal RNA
Rfam family: Eukaryotic large subunit ribosomal RNA
Source: RNAcentral